This 253-nucleotide ribosomal RNA is filed under the name uncultured bacterium. RNAcentral's name for it is "partial 16S ribosomal RNA". It matches the Rfam family "Bacterial small subunit ribosomal RNA", at positions 524 to 776 of the family's 1533-position model. The record is from RNAcentral.
UACGAAGGGGGCUAGCGUUGCUCGGAAUUACUGGGCGUAAAGGGCGCGUAGGCGGCACUGUUAGUCAGGCGUGAAAGUCCUGGGCUCAACCUGGGAACUGCGCUUGAUACGGCAGAGCUAGAGGAUGGAAGAGGGUCGCGGAAUUCCCAGUGUAGAGGUGAAAUUCGUAGAUAUUGGGAAGAACACCGGUGGCGAAGGCGGCUCUCUGGACCGAGACUGACGCUGAGGUGCGAAAGUGCGGGGAGCAAACAGG